This 1383-nucleotide long non-coding RNA is filed under the name Calidris pugnax (ruff). Its description in RNAcentral is "lncRNA (ENSCPUG00000008869.1)". The record is from RNAcentral. Lineage: Eukaryota; Metazoa; Chordata; Aves; Charadriiformes; Scolopacidae.
UGUUUUUAAUGGUAAUAUGCAAUGGUAGUUUGUGUGGCAUUGGGCCUGCUGCUAUCCUGUAGCAGCUAACUUCUAGGGGAGGGCAAGUGACAACAGCUAAUAGAACUGUGUGGCAUUCAGGAGAGAGAGUCCUAUUUUUGUGCAUUUGAAGGUACAUAUAUGAGGGCCACAUGAAAAUAUGUCUGUGUUUCAAAGCUCCUUUUGGCAACAUAGAAAAGCCAUGUUUCUAUCUGCAAAAGUAAAACACUUGUGUCAACAAAGUUGCUGAAAAUAUGUUUAAGGAAUAGUGCCGUGCUGAGGCAAUAUUUGACGUUUUAGGCAGGAAAAGAGCUGUACUGAGUAUGAAGUGGAAGAACUGAAGAAGUACAUGCAAUGAUUUUCCUCCUUUUUUCUUGGUUUUAAGAAAAAAACCAUGUAUUUUAAAACAGGGUUAACCUCAUGGUCAAUGAAGGAAAUAGCGUAAGUGCUGUCACGGUAUUAUCUCAGAAUUACCACAGUCCCUUACAGGCCGUUUGUUCUGGUGGGUGAAUUUUAAAACCGAAGUUACAUAACUGGCAUUUUUUCACUUCUGCAGAAUUAAUGCCCAGGAGUGCAACUUCACUGAGUCCCUGUUGGAACCAGUAACCAGUGACAAGCCUUUGAGCAUUCAGUGUCAGCUCUGGAUGCUCAGCACCUUGCUGAGUGCCUUUGCAGAUUCCUUUUCUAUCUAAUUCUGGAAUGUUGUCAUAUUUAGGAAUGUCAUACUGGCCUUAAAUUAGGGUGAUGUGAAUCUGUAGCAGCUGGGUAAAUCGGUGUACUCAGUGUGCAUCAGGUUUAGAUCUUGAUCCGAUUCCUGAGCAAAGGGAAGAGGAACUUCCUCAGAACAUCAUCUGGCAGUGUCCCAGUGGAGAAUGGAGUUCAGCCCCAGAGCCUGUCACCUUCAUACUUCUGCGGCUGGUUCAGCAAGGGCUUGAGUGCUUAAACCCCGCAAGAAACAAUACGGAAUUGAAAACGGCUCAAAGGAUGGACUCAGUUUUUCCCCUCAUUUUACACUGUGUUGAAUCCAAUGUGCAAUGGACUGAAUCCAGCAGGUGAAAAAUGCAAGUAGUGUUAUCUUUCCUAGAAACUGAAUACCUGUGAUUCUGUGCCACUGUUUUUAAGGACGGCUGGGGAAAUCUGUUCCAAACAUCACUAACAAAACAAGUUCUUUGUUCUUGGUCAGACUGGGAGAGGGACAACUUGUUUUGCAAGACAGACGUACAGUCCUCUGAAAGCCACUGUCUGUAUCCCGCUUCCCAUGAUUAUGUAUAUGUAUGUUCUAACAAGAGCUGCCUUUUGAAAUCAGCUCCUCCUUACACCUAAUUGAGGAAUAAAGCCAUAAUGCCAAGUUUAUGGUAUCUUAGU